AUGAAGAUCAUGAGCUUCCCCAUAAUGAAAUCGCUAGUAGUCGCGAAUAUCUCCUUCUUCCCUAAUCCAAGAUUGGAGAAAGAAGAUCUAAGAGGGACCUAUGGAGAAUGUUGUAAAUCCAUAAUAGAUUCUAACCACAACGACCGAAUUAAUUAUCCUCAUCGAGAACUUAGACUACUAAAUAUAAAAGAUUUCAAAAUCAUGGCAUGGGUCUCCUUUUUUUCUUUCUUUAGAGUUUUUUAUAUGCACAAUUUCUCGAUGUUUCGAUGA
Molecule: ribosomal RNA, 270 nt
Filed under: Triticum aestivum (bread wheat)
Lineage: Eukaryota; Viridiplantae; Streptophyta; Magnoliopsida; Poales; Poaceae
Description: partial small subunit ribosomal RNA
Source: RNAcentral